RNAcentral lists this transfer RNA (71 nucleotides) under Loxodonta africana (African savanna elephant). It matches the Rfam family "tRNA". Rfam says of the family: Transfer RNA (tRNA) molecules are approximately 80 nucleotides in length. Lineage: Eukaryota; Metazoa; Chordata; Mammalia; Proboscidea; Elephantidae. The record is from Rfam by way of RNAcentral.
GCAGCGGUAGUUCAGUGGUAGAAUUCUUGCCUUCCACUUGGGAGACCCAGGUUCGAUUCCUGGCCAACGCA